ACUUCAGGGCACUCAACCCGGGAGGGGGCAUGGGGGGUCGAUGAGAGGGACACAGCUGACGGGUCGCUCGAGCGAAAGAAGGGAGCAGUAUUGAUGCAAGAAGACGUGCAAUCCUCAGUUAUUGCAGGACUGAUUUGACAGGUGUCGCGUGGAAAAAAAUAGCUAGAAAGCUGAAAGAAACAGGUAAGAAAAAGCUACAAUAAUUAAAGAUAUUCGUAGAUUUCGAAAACCUAUGGCUGAAGGGAGUUUGUCUGUGGACACCUUUAACUCCCAAACCUUUAAUGAUGGAAAUCUGAAAUGUUCACCACUUUUCCAUCUCCGCGGGCCAUAUACUGGAAAAUUGUUCUGGACCGAAACACUCCAUGAUGCGCUAAAAAUAAAUAUUUUUCAAGGUGUCAAGUGGGGUAUCGUUUGAUAGAUAUGGACCUACGCAGAACAUUUAAUGAAGGUAUUGGCUUAAAGAAGAAAGUAGAAUAAAAAUGUAAAAAUGAGUUUUUUUUUUUGGUUUUUAUGGCAAGCCUACAUGUUUCCAUUCUAUAGGAAUCGCUUCUUUUGGAUUUAGAAAGUAAUCACCAAGUCUAUGACAUAGUCGAACAGCUUGGGCCUGCGUUGUUAAUCCCUAUAGAGUACUGCCGUCAGGCAUUGCUGGCACAGCGAGAGAGGGAGCGAAAUUUGAAGGUUAUUGAUAUCUUCCCUUCCGAAGGCGAAUGAAAUUAUGGAGCCCACAUGCUGCCUUCACCACUGCAAUAACACACUUUUCGUCACAAGCCAUUGGUACCUCGAACACGCGAAAAGCCAGCAUAUCAAAAGCACAUUCAACACUUUUUCGGCCUCUGGAGAGACGAAAGUUGAAAAUUCUUUUUACAUCAUUUAACACUCUCUUCGGAAAAGGCCUAAGUAGAAUCUUGAUAAGUAUUUCCAGGGAGACUAGUAGGGUUUGGAACAUUCAGGCUAUCUGCUUUUCAACGUCAGUGAAAGUAAACAAACUAUCUGCACCUGCCAUAGCCAUUGGUACAGCAGAAAAAAAAAUUAAUUCAUAUUUCUCGAUUCUGUAUUCUUGAAGCACUUUACGCGGAUGUUUUCCAUCGAUGGAGCCAAUACAAUUGUGCAGAUUCCACAGUUCGAAGUAGCGCGGAGUGUAGAUUGCAAAAUUUUCCAAUCUGCUUCACAUGUGGAGCGUAUGAUUUCACCCACUGUAGAUAUGCCUCUGUAGAACUGCAAUGCCAGGUAAACGAAUCUGCUUCCCGUAGCUAGGUACCUGAAAUCCUAAAAAAAUGUAAAUUGAUUCUACUCACAAAUAACUUUCAACUUCAUU
This is a long non-coding RNA of Leptinotarsa decemlineata (Colorado potato beetle), 1315 nucleotides long. The record is from RefSeq and is a predicted model, not a curated record. Lineage: Eukaryota; Metazoa; Arthropoda; Insecta; Coleoptera; Chrysomelidae.